UUCAAGAAAUUAAUACGAUUGCAAAUGUAAUAGCUCCAUACAUAGUGAGGUAGGAUAAAUGAUGGAAGACACAUUGAAAUUUGAGGUCCAUAGGUUGAGAAGAGUCCAUAGCAUUGAUCCAUAUAUGGCUAUCUUGCAUAGAUCUACAAUUCAAGCUCCGAACAAAAUAUCAAUUUAUCAGCAAUUGUGACAUUCAUUAUUCCUAAAAAAAAGUUAUUGAUUUACAAAUAAACAGAUGAAAGUAAUCGGAAAAUAAAUGUUUACCACAUGCUGGAUGAAUCCGAACUCAAAAUGAUCACGAUAUUUUCCCGACGAUGAUCAUAGAGAGAUUGCUGCCUGUGACUUGUCCAUCCCCUAAAAACAAUUUCAGGAACUUAUUUAUUGGAUAAAUGUGUGUGUACCCAAGAACUAUACUGAAACAACCACAAAGACAGUAAAUAUGAUCGGCAACUAAUAAAAAUAAUAAUCGACUGGAAAUCACAUAUAAACCCAAAUGAACCUAAACCCACCAAGCAAAACUAAAAAACACGCUAAAUAGACAAUCAAUCAAACAGAACCAGAAGGGGGUUCAGAUAAAUUUUUGGUUAUUGUUUCUCUCUUUCAUGCAAGUUUACAUCAAUAAAGGAAGCCACAGAUUUUAACCUGUUUCCAACUUACAAACCGCAUAAUGAUCAAUUACCUAGAAAAAGGAAAAAGGAAAGUUGGCAUUUGAAACUAACUCUGGCAAAAUUGAAGAAUAAAAUAUGCAAAAUUUUUGCAGCAAAAAGUAAACGACACAGUUUGGGCAACAAAGAGCAUAAAAAAGAACAUAAUUUCCAAGCAAGUAGAGUAAUUGCAGAGCUAUAAAAUUUGUGCUAAGCUAAAACAGCUACCGGUUAAAGUAUAUACAAAGUUUUCUCAGGAUUCAAAUAGAAAAAACAAUCAAUCAAAAGACAAAUUUUAAGGCUCAAAGGCACCUGCAGGGUGAAGUGCAAUGAAUUCGAAGAUGGCGCAGGGUAGAAGGACCUUGUUUCAGAAAGGAAAGAUGCCUAGGCGAGUGGGAUGCUCCACCGAUUCCACCAUAUUUAGAAGUUGCACAAAGAGAAGAAGAAGAACAAGAAAAAAGAGUCAGAGGAGGAGGUAGAGAACAAAGGCAUUACCAUAUGAGUGCCUAACCCAAAAACAAAAAACUUAACAUAGAAUUAUUGAUGUCGUUGUACACCAUUUUAAAUGAAACUUAAAAUUCAUGACUACAACUUAUUUUCUAGAGUCUCUAAACGGAAAGUUAACCACUGAAUGUUUGAAUAACCUGAAGAACUUCCUCGUGCACCACAAAGUUCCCAAAACCAAUCCAUUGACAACGAUUCAAAGUGAAAUAAAGUGAAUCCAACAUAGAAACUUCUAUAAUUUCACAUGUUUCCUAAAAUUACCCAGCUACGUGUU
Molecule: long non-coding RNA, 1422 nt
Filed under: Malus domestica (apple)
Lineage: Eukaryota; Viridiplantae; Streptophyta; Magnoliopsida; Rosales; Rosaceae
Description: long non-coding RNA (MDOM_LNC021154)
Source: RNAcentral